UACGUAGGGGGCAAGCGUUAAUCGGAAUUACUGGGCGUAAAGCGAGCGUAGGUGGUUUGUUAAGUUGGAUGUGAAAGCACCGGGCUCAACCUGGGAACUGCAUCCAAAACUGGCAAGCUAGAGUACGGUAGAGGGUGGUGGAAUUUCCUGUGUAGCGGUGAAAUGCGUAGAUAUAGGAAGGAACACCAGUGGCGAGGGCGACCACCUGGACUGAUACUGACACUUAGGUGCGAAAGCGUGUGGAGCAAACAGG
RNAcentral lists this unclassified non-coding RNA (253 nucleotides) under uncultured Pseudomonadaceae bacterium. Its description in RNAcentral is "contains 16S-23S intergenic spacer region". It matches the Rfam family "Bacterial small subunit ribosomal RNA", at positions 524 to 776 of the family's 1533-position model. The record is from RNAcentral. Lineage: Bacteria; Pseudomonadati; Pseudomonadota; Gammaproteobacteria; Pseudomonadales; Pseudomonadaceae.